Molecule: ribosomal RNA, 245 nt
Filed under: uncultured Bicosoecida
Lineage: Eukaryota; Bigyra; Bicosoecida
Description: partial small subunit ribosomal RNA
Rfam family: Eukaryotic small subunit ribosomal RNA
Source: RNAcentral
ACAUCCAAGGAAGGCAGCAGGCGCGUAAAUUACCCAAUCGUAACUCACGGAGGUAGUGACGAAAAAUACUAAUACGGGGCUCUACGAGCUUUGUAAUUGGAAUGAGAACAAUUUAAAUCCCUUAACGAGGAUCAAUUGGAGGGCAAGUCUGGUGCCAGCAGCCGCGGUAAUUCCAGCUCCAAUAGCGUAUAUUAAAGUUGUUGCAGUUAAAAAGCUCGUAGUUGAAUUUCUGGGCGGCCCGCCGG